This 233-nucleotide ribosomal RNA is filed under the name uncultured Bacteroidota bacterium. RNAcentral's name for it is "uncultured Bacteroidetes bacterium partial 16S ribosomal RNA". It matches the Rfam family "Bacterial small subunit ribosomal RNA", at positions 108 to 334 of the family's 1533-position model. Lineage: Bacteria; Pseudomonadati; Bacteroidota. The record is from RNAcentral.
GAGUAACGCGUAUGCAACUUCGCCUAUCAGGAGGGGGAGUAACCCGGACGAAAGUACGGACUAAUACCGCAUGAAGCAGGGAGUCCCGCAUGGGAAUAUUUGCUAAAGAUUCAUCGCUGAUAGAUAGGCAUGCGUUCCAUUAGGCAGUUGGCGGGGUAACGGCCCACCAAACCGACGAUGGAUAGGGGUUCUGAGAGGAAGGUCCCCCACAUUGGUACUGAGACACGGACCAA